Molecule: ribosomal RNA, 405 nt
Filed under: Bacillota bacterium
Lineage: Bacteria; Bacillati; Bacillota
Description: Firmicutes bacterium partial 16S ribosomal RNA
Rfam family: Bacterial small subunit ribosomal RNA
Source: RNAcentral
UGGGGAAUAUUGUGCAAUGGGGGAAACCCUGACACACCGACGCCGCGUGAGCGAAGAAGGCCUUCGGGUCGUAAAGCCCAAUAGUAUGGGAAGAAAUAAAUGACGGUACCAUACGAAAGCCCCGGCUAACUACGUGCCAGCAGCCGCGGUAAUACGUAGGGGGCGAGCGUUGUCCGGAAUUAUUGGGCGUAAAGCGCGCGCAGGCGGUCCCUUAAGUCUGAUGUGAAAGCCCACGGCUUAACCGUGGAGGGUCAUUGGAAACUGGGGGACUUGAGUGCAGAAGAGGAGAGCGGAAUUCCACGUGUAGCGGUGAAAUGCGUAGAUAUUAGGAGGAACACCAGUGGCGAAGGCGGCUUUCUGGACAGUAACUGACGCUGAGGCGCGAAAGCGUGGGGAGCAAACAGG